GCGGGGAUAGCUCAGUUGGGAGAGCGUCAGACUGAAGAUCUCAAGGUCGCGUAUUCGAUCCACGCUCACCGCA
Picea glauca (white spruce) is the source of this 73-nucleotide non-coding RNA. Lineage: Eukaryota; Viridiplantae; Streptophyta; Pinopsida; Pinales; Pinaceae. The record is from Rfam.